CCGCCACACUCGUCGGCAAAGAAGGUAUACAUAUCUCAUUGAACCCGUACAUCAACUCGUGUAGAUCAGCAUGACAUAGCAGUCCCGAUUUACCAUAGCCUACUAUAGAUCCACAUGACGCCUCUUGUGUAGAUCAGUCCCGAUUUCCUUUUUUUGAAUGACAAUCCCGAUUACAUCCUGUUUACAUUACAUCAAAAAAAGAUCAGUAGAUUACACAAAAAAAGAUUAGCUUAAGUACAAGUUACAUUAAUCAAAUCAUUACUUCAGCCUGGCACGUCUUAAACUAAUUAGCCAUCAAUAUAGUACGUCAACGAAUGAGUACAGUAAAGUUAUAUUUUUAUUUCUCAGUGGUACGUACAGUAAAAUUAUAUUUUUAUUUCUUAGUAAAAAUAUGCUGAAAAUCCGUAGGCACGUUCACCAUAGCCUACUCUUACUGAAGAUAGAAAGAGAACAUGCAUGCAAAUUAAAGAUAGAAAGAGAACAUGCAUGCAAAUUAAAACAACACCGCAUAUAGCCAAAUAAACAGCCUAAAUGAUAAUCUUAAUUAUUUGUUCACAAUAAAUCUCUUAUUUUUGUUGGCUUGUCACUGAAAAUAAUCUUUGCACAUACAGGGUACCUGAUGAAGCUAUGUACCUAGGGUAGGGUCAUGGACAUGUCCUAACUGCCCUACCCAAGGACAUCUCUAAAAGAAAUCACCUUUCAAUCGACUUGAAGGUGUUCCACUCGACAGACUCGAAGUCACUCGACCAAGAAACGAUCACUCGACCAAGAUCCAACCACUCGACGGCCAGGAGACCUAAAGUCACCCCGCACGCUAACGGUCGGUCAUUAAAUAGCUUUUAUGGUCAUCAUAGCACUUUAUUACUAGCGUUACCAGUAACGCCCUGCCUUAAUGUACAUUAAACCCUUCGAAACGUGGGCUGGCCGGGGUCCUGGUGCACUCUAUAUAAGCCACCUCCCUCCUCCGAGACAAGGGUUCGCACCUCUGUAACUCAUACUCACAUCAUCCAGUCGACCGCCUCCAGGCUCCGAGACGUAGGGUUUUUACUUCUUCCGAGAAGGGUCUGAACUCGUAAACCUUGCGUCCUUACAACUUCUCAUAGCUAAGAUCUCGCCUCUCCAUACUUACCCCCCUACAUUACUGCCAGACUUAGAACCACGACAGUUGGCGCCCACCGUGGGGCCGGUGUUUUAGCGUUUUGUUGGAGGAGUUGCGAUCUUUUCCGAUCCGAAUCAUCAUGGUUUUCGACGGAGUUUUGGUGGAGGGCCGCGAGAUCCGUCUCGGCGCGCUCACAUUCAUCGCCGACGACUCCGCCUGGCUUUAGGAAGCUCGGCUCGACGUGGACGCACACCCUGUCCGCGGGGCAACGCACUUUAGCGCAUGCGUCCGCGGCGUGCUCCUGCGGCAACCGUCGACCCCCUACCAGUCGGCUCCUAUGUUGUCCUCCCUCCCCGUUUCCCGCCGGCGCAAGCGCUCCGGUCGGUCGAGACUUCAGCGGUGGGUGAGACACGCGGUGGCCCACCAGUCGGCCAUCCCUCAAGUCGCGGCGAUCGAGCCCGACGAAUCCCUCUAGGGCCUGUUCGACCUGUCGACUGGCUCCGAAGAGACUGCACCCGAAUGCGACAGCAGCGAUCCGGCAGCAGAGGUUCUGAUGGUCGACACACCGCCCAGUCCCCCUGGUUUUACCUGCACCAACGGAGGCGCGGGAGGAGGCGACCCGUCGUGUCUCCAUGAAGAGUAUCUUCCCGAGUCUCUCACGUCGCUGCAGAGAGAAGAACUUCGCCGCCGGAACAUGGAUGCACUGCACACUCCUAUCGUCGGAGAAACCCCCGAGGCUCGCGCCUUGGAAGACGCACGCCUGGCAAACUUGGCCGAGCGCACUCGACUGGAGAACCUCCAGCGAGCACUCGACGAGCGUGCGCGACAACGGGUUCCCGAAUCCAGUCGACGUCAGCUCUUCCCGCCCCCACAGGUAUAUCGAACUCCGAUUCAGAAUUUAGCAGCUGCAGCCCGUAUAGCGGAGUCGAUUCAGCCUUCCCAGUCGGAGGCUGGCAGAGGCUUGCUGCAGAUCAGAGCAUUACUCCGGGCAGCAGGAGAUCAGAAUUCCGCUGUUUCUCGGUCGCGGAACAGGAUUCACAGCAGAUCCGUUGCCGCGGACACAGUCCAGUUGGCUCACAGCCCGAGAUCGCCCCCGAGGCGUGAGGGACGUGGUGACCAGCGUGACCAGUAUGGGAACCAUGAGCAGUAUGAUCACCGAGUCGAUCGUGACGGUCGACGUCGAGUGCCCACGCCUCCCCCGAGGAGCGGGUCGUAUGUGCCUCGCCAGCAGGAUGACAGGCGCCCUCAUAGUGGUGGGCGAAGGAUUCCAGUUGACCCCAGAGGGCCAGGCUUUGACGCGAGAUCCAUUCUCGUCCAGGGUUUGGUCGACAGGAACAGGGCUCACCGAGAAGGUCACGACAGAGAUGCACCUACCAGCAGCAGAGUACAUGUUUCGGGGCCAGGGUGCUUUAGUAGAGCCAUCAGGGCCGCUGUGAUUCCUCCCAAUUUCAGGUUGGCGACUGGAGUCAGUAAGUUCACUGGCGAGUCCAAGCCCGAUACUUGGCUUGAGGACUACCGAGUGGCCGUCCAGAUUGGCGACGGCAAUGAUGAAGUGGCCAUGAAGCACAUGCCUCUCAUGUUGGAGGGCUCGGCCAGAGCGUGGCUAAACCAGUUAGCACCUAGCAGCAUUUACACUUGGGAAGAUCUCUCCCGAGUGUUCGUCACCACAUUUGAAGGCACAUGCAAGCGACCGACAGGACUGAUGGAACUGCGGUCCUAUGUGCAAAAGCCGAAUGAAACCUUGAGGGAUUACAUCCAGAGAUGGAUCAUGUUACAUCACUCGGUGGAGAAUGUGCCUGACCACCAAGCAGUUUGUGCCUUCAAGGAAGGCGUCAAGUACAGAGAACUGAAUUUGAAAUUCGGUCGAACCGGAGAUAUGUCGCUGAAUCGGAUGAUGGAGAUUGCCACCAAGUACGCUAAUGGCGAAGAUGAGGAUCGACUCAGGAGUGGCAAGCUCAAGUCAGUCGCCAAAGAAACCGGAGGCAAUUCCAGUCGGAAACAGAAGCGGAAAGCCGAGCCAGCGGCUCCCGAGGAAGCCUUAGCUUUGGCCCAAGGAAAGUCUAAAGGGAAACCUAAAGGGCCUUGAAACCCCAAAAAGGUUAAAGACCAGGAGGGAAAUGAUGUGUUGGACUUACCGUGUCUCGUCCACACGAAGAAAGAUGAAGAGGGUAAUUUUAUUUACCCAAAACAUACCACUCGGCAGUGUCGACUCUUGAUCCAGCAGUUCCAGGGCAAGCAGCCCAAGGGUAAGGAAAAGGAGUCAAACAAGGUCGAAGACAAAGAGGACAGUGAUGACGGAUACCCUCAAGUCAAUUCCACCCUGAUGAUUUUUGCUGAUGUUGAGAGCAAAAGUCGACUGAAAGUUAUUAACCGAGAGGUGAAUAUGGUCGCUCCGGCGACACCUAGUUACUUGAAAUGGUCUCAGACUGCCAUAACGUUCGACCAGUCCGACCACCUAACGCACAUCACCACCCCUGGGAGGCAAGCUUUGGUGGUAGACCCAGUUGUUGAAGGCACUCGACUGACCAAAGUCCUGAUGGAUGGUGGCAGUGGUUUGAACAUAUUAUACGCUGAGACGUUGAAGGGGAUGGGCAUUCUGAUGUCCAGACUCAGUGCCAGCAACAUGAGUUUCCAUGGAGUCAUUCCUAGGAAGAAGGCUGAAUCACUCGGCCAGAUUGCUCUUGAUGUGGUUUUCGGUGAUUCCAAGAAUUACCGCAAAGAAAAAUUGACAUUUGAAGUUGUAGACUUCCAGAAUGCCUAUCACGCUAUUUUGGGCAGGCCGGCUUAUGCACGCUUCAUGGCCCGACCAUAUUACGUGUAUCUCAAAUUGAAGAUGCCUGGCCCCAAAGGUGUGAUCACCAUUACGGGCAAUCGGAAGAAAGCGGACGAAUGUUUUCAGAAAGGUUCGAAGAUCGCCGACGCACAGAUGUCAGUGGUGGAGUUGCAGGAAUACCAGAAGACUGCAGACCCGAGUGAUCUGUUGCGAGCCAAGAAGCCCGCUACAGAGUCAGCUUUCCAGUCGACUGGCGACACGAAGACAGCUCACAUCCACCCGACCGACCCCAGCGCCGCCCCGACUCAUAUCUCGACAACACUCAACUCCAAAUAAGAAGAAGCGCUCAUCCAGUUCCUCCAUGAGAACUGGGACAUCUUCGCGUGGAAGCCUUUUGACAUGCCAGGUGUUCCCAGGGAGCUGGCUGAGCAUCGCCUGAGAGUCGACUCAAAAGUAAAACCUAUCAAGGAACAUCUUCGACGGACCGCCGUCCAAAAGAGAGAAUCUAUUGGCGAAGAGGUGGCUCGGCUCUUAGCAGCGGAGUUCAUCCGAGAAAUCUUCCACUCCGAGUAGCUCGCCAACGUUGUCAUGGUCCCCAAGAAGGACAAGUCACUUUGCAUGUGCAUUGACUUUAAACAUAUCAAUCGGGCCUGCCCGAAAGAUCAUUUUCCUCUCCCCGCAUCGACCAGAUAGUCGACUUGACUGCGGGAUGUGAGCGACUUUCUUUCUUAGACGCCUAUUCCCGGUACCAUCAGAUCCGUCUGUAUGGACCUGAUGAGAUCAAGACAGCUUUCAUCACUCCAUUCGGGUGCUUCUGUUAUGUUACCAUGCCGUUCGGCCUCAAGAAUGCCGGAGCCACAUUCAUGAGGAGGAUUCAGAAGUGUUUACUCACUCAAAUCAGUCGGAACGUGGAAGCAUACAUGGAUGAUAUUGUGGUCAAGUCAAGAAAGGGUUUCGACCUGCUGACUGACCUUGCUGAAACCUUUGCCAACCUCAGGAGGUAUGAUAUCAAGCUUAAUCCAUCAAAGUGUACAUUCGGAGUCCCUGGCGGAAAAUUACUCGGUUUUCUCGUUUCCGAACGGGGAAUCGACGCCAAUCCAUAAAACAUUGGCACUAUACUCUGAAUGAAAAGCCCUGUGCGAGUGCACGACGUCCAGAAGCUUACUGGUUGUUUGGCUGCCCUAAGUCGAUUCAUAUCUCGUCUCGGUGAAAAGGCAUUACCUCUUUACUGAUUGAUGAAGAAGUCCGACAAGUUCGAGUGAACUCCCGAAGCUGAUGCAGCGUUUGCAGAGCUCAAAGCUCUGCUCUCCACCCAGCCGGUGCUUGCUGCCCCAAUCGGCAAAGAGCCUUUGCUGCUUUACAUUGCAGCCAUAGGACAAAUCGUCAGUACGCUACUUACGGUCGAGCGGGAAGAAGAAGGGAAAACCUUCAAAGUUCAGCGCCCAGUAUAUUAUAUUUCUGAAGUCUUGACCCCAUCGAAGCAAAGAUAUCCUCACUAUCAGAAACUUGUAUAUGGGAUUUAUAUGACCACCAAGAAAGUUGCUCACUACUUCUCUGGUCAUUCCAUUACAGUCGUCAGCGACGCUCCAUUAAGAGAUCCUGCAUAACAGGGAUGCAACUGGUCGAGUGGCAAAAUGGGCGAUUGAACUCCUUCCCCUUGAUAUCAAGUUUGAGGCAAAGAAAGCUAUCAAGUCCCAAGCAAUCGCAGAUUUCGUCGCCGAGUGGAUUGAACAGCAGCUGCCGACUCAGAUUCACUCGGAGCAUUGGACUAUGUUUUUCGACGGCUCCAAGAUGCUGAGUGGUUCCAGUGCCGGAGUGGUGUUGGUGUCCCUCAGAGGAGAUAAACUCAGAUAUGUUCUUCAAAUCCAUUUUGAUUCCUCCAAUAACGAGGCAGAAUAUGAAGCACUUUUAUAUGGGUUGCACAUGGCCAUCUCACUCGGCGUCCGUCGCCUCAUGGUCUAUGGCGACUCAGAUUUGGUGGUUAAUCAGGUGAUGAAGGAGUGGGAUGUCAGAAGUCCAGCCAUGACUGGUUAUUGCAAUGCAGUGAGAAAGCUGGAGAAGAAAUUCAAGGGGUUAGAGCUUCAUCACAUACCCCGACUGAAAAAUCAAGCAGCUGAUGAUUUGGCAAAAAUAGGUUCCAAAAAAGAAGCCAUUCCCAGCAAUGUGUUUUUGGAACACAUCCACACACCAUCAGUCCAGUAGGAUCCCUUCACGGAAGAGGCCCCGUAGCCAAAAAGCUCCAAGGAUCCAACUGAAGUUGAAGUUCCAGCUGUGGUCGAUCUGAUAAUGGAAGUGCCGGUUAUCACUCCCGUCUGGACAGAACCGUAUAUCGCGUAGAUCCUAAGGAAAGAACUCUCAGAAGACGAGGAAGAGGCUCGAUAGAUCGUCCAUCGAUCCAAGGCCUUUACAGUCAUAAAAGGACAGUUAUAUAGGGAAAGCGCGACUAGGGUCGGCCAAAAGUGUAUCACACCAGAAGAAGGUCAGAUGAUCCUUAACGAUAUCCACUCGGGGACCUGUGGUCAUCAUGCGUCCUCUCGGACCUGUGUUCAUCCACUCGGGGUUCUACUGGCCAAGGGCCAAUGAGAUGGCUAAAGAGAUAGUCGACAAAUGUGAAGGAUGUCAGUAUUACUCCAAUAUGCCGCACAGGCCCGCGUCAGCCCUGAAAACCAUUCCACUCGUCUGGCCCUUCGCUGUUUGGGGGCUGGACAUGGUUGGGCCACUGAGAACAGGCAGGAGCGGCUUCACUCAUGUGCUAGUAGCAGUCGACAAGUUCACCAAAUGGAUUGAAGCCAAGCCUAUCAAGAAUCUCGAUGCUUGCACCGCUAUCAGUUUCAUCAGAGAGUUGAUAUUCAGAUAUGGAGUUCCGCACAGUAUCAUCACGGACAAUGGGUCAAACUUCGAUUCAGACAAGUUCAGGGCCUUUUGCGCCUCUCAGGGCACUCGGGUCGACUAUGCUUCGGUCGCUCACCCCCAGUCGAAUGGACAAGCAGAAGGGGCAAAUGGCCUAAUUCUCAAAGGACUGAAACCCCAAUUGAUGCUGAUCUCAAGCACGCAGCAGGUGCAUGGGUCGACGAGCUCCCAUCAGUCCUUUAGGGAUUAAGGACAACUCCGAAUUGAUCGACCGGAAGAACCCCAUUCUUUCUGGUCUACGGAGCCGAGGCAGUCUUACCGAGCGACCUGCUUCACAACGCUCCCAGAGUCGAGGUCUACUAAGAAGAUGAAGCAGAACAAGCCCGGCAGGACGCAGUCGACCUCCUAGAAGAAGAAAGAUAAAUGGCCCUGAUCCGAUCGACCAUCUAUCAGCAAGACUUGUGUCGAUUCCAUGCCAGAAACAUGAAGAGCCGAGCCUUCCAAGAAGGCGACUUAGUCCUUCGAGUGGAUCAGCAGAAACCACACAAGCUUGCUCCUAUUUGGGAAGGCCCCUUCAUAGUCACCAGAGUCCUCCACAAUGGAGCAUACCACAUCUACAAUGCCCAUCGCCAGAUUGAUGAGCCACGAGCCUGGAAUGCGGAGCUACUCCGCCCCUUUUAUACUUGAAUUCUCACUCGGACGAGAUGUAAUAAGAAAAACUCCUGUAGUUUAUUUAUCAAAGACAAGAGUGUUAUAAUUUUCGCAGUGAUUAUUAUUGUUUUUGUUUGCGUAAGAAAUCCCCCAGCGGGUGGCUUAGCUGCGAAUCCGCUUCGCCUAAGUUUGAAAAAUCCUACCGAGUGGAGAGCAAUCUUCCCACUCGGGGGCUUAGCUGCGAAUCCGUUUCUCCUAAGUUUGAAAAAUCCUACCGAGUGGAGAGCAAUCCUCCCACUCGGGGGCUUAGCUGCAAUCCAGUACUCGCCUAAGUUCUCCCACCUAGAGACUUAGCUGCAGUCAGGUACUCGCCUAAGUUUGAAAAAUCCUACCGAGUGAAGAGCAACCCUCCCACUCGGGGGCUUAGCUGCAGUCUAGUACUCGCCUAAGUUCUCCCACUCAGAGACUUAGCUGCAGUCAGGCACUCGCCUAAGUUUGAAAAUUCCUACCGAGUGAAGAGCAACCCUCCCANNNNNNNNNNNNNNNNNNNNNNNNNNNNNNNNNNNNNNNNNNNNNNNNNNNNNNNNNNNNNNNNNNNNNNNNNNNNNNNNNNNNNNNNNNNNNNNNNNNNNNNNNNNNNNNNNNNNNNNNNNNNNNNNNNNNNNNNNNNNNNNNNNNNNNNNNNNNNNNNNNNNNNNNNNNNNNNNNNNNNNNNNNNNNNNNNNNNNNNNNNNNNNNNNNNNNNNNNNNNNNNNNNNNNNNNNNNNNNNNNNNNNNNNNNNNNNNNNNNNNNNNNNNNNNNNNNNNNNNNNNNNNNNNNNNNNNNNNNNNNNNNNNNNNNNNNNNNNNNNNNNNNNNNNNNNNNNNNNNNNNNNNNACCAAGUGGAGAGCAACCCUCCCACUCGGGGGCUUAGCUGUAGUCCAGUACUCGCCUAAGUUCUCCCACCUAGAGACUUAGCUGCAGUCAGGCACUCGCCUAAGUUUGAAAAAUCCUACCGAGUGAAGAGCAACCCUCCCACUCGGGGGCUUAGCUGCAGUCCAGUACUCACCUAAGUUCUCCCACCUAGAGACUUAGCUGCAGUCAGGCACUCGCCUAACUUUGAAAAAAUCCUACCGAGUGGAGAGCAAUCCUCCCAUUUGGGGGCUUAGCUGCAGUCCAGUACUCGCCUAAGUUCUCCCAAACACAUCUCAAUCCUCAAGGACGAUGAGGGGCAGGUCGACUGCCACCUUCUCCUGGAGAGCUUCGCCACAAAUACAAUGCGCGAUUCAUCCCGCUCUACAAUAAUGAAGUACGGGUCGACUGCCCCCUUCUCCUGGAGAGCUUCGCCACAAAUACAAGGCAUGGGUCGACUACUUCCCCCUCCUUCGGAGCUGCGCUGCAAAUACAGAAAGUUGUCUCGAAUAAAGAUUGGGUUCACUCAGCAGGAGAUCCAUAAAGAUACUCAACGGUAAACCAAGUUCAGAUAAAAUCCUAAAGGUUCUGGAUCACGGAUCGAGGUACUCGGGCAUGCGGCCCGAAAAAGUUUAAUGGUUACAAAAACCACUCGGCAUUCCAAGGCAAAUUUAAGGUAGGACACAAGAGUUUGUUCACUUCGCGGGAGGAGGGCUGGCAGGCUCAACGAACUCGUCCAGGUCGAUGCCAUCGGCAAUCCGAGUGGCGGCAGCUAUGAAGGUCUCCAUAAAAGUUAAGAAGUCGUGCUUCUGGGUGUUUGCGACCUUGAUUGCGGCCAGCUUGUCUUGUCGCACGUCCUUGCAGUGGACACGAACCAAGGACAGAGCCACAUCAGCGCCACAACGAGCAGAAGACUUCUUCCACUCCUGCACUCAGUCAGGCAUUCCGUUAAGUCGAGGCAUCAGAGACUCAAGAUCGUUUUGGAGCGUAGCCUCUGGCCAGAGUGCCGGGUCGAUCCGUGACAUGGCGACCUUCAGUCGAGCCAAGUAGUGCAUGACACCAUCGAUGCGAGAUUCCAGUCGGAGCAGAUUCGUGGCAGUUUCAUCUUUCACGGGAGAGUUGAUUGGAUCCAGACCUGGUUCGAUCCGCCCGGUCUCCUCUUCAAAGUUCUGGCAAAACUCUGCAUUCACGAUCCAAGGAUAAGUCAACUUUCAUACACUGAGUCAACACAAAAAAAUCAGUCGGAACUAAAUGUGCAUCUUCAAGCUUGAUAUACAACUUCUUGGCAAGACUCCUCAGGUAGCUCUCCAGAUCGUCCCUCCUACGAGCGACGCCUUCCAUCUUUUCGGUCAGGUUGAGGUUCUCCUUCUUCCAAUGUGUGCACUCCCUGUUGGCUUCAUUCAUAGCAGUCUUCAGCCUGGUAUUCUCUUCUUCCAACUGGCCGACUGAAGCCAGCUUCUGUUCGGCCAGAGCGGUCCUGUCGUCAGCCUCCUUCUGGGCAGCAGACAAAUACUGAUCCUUUUUCGCCAAAGCCUCUCGCAGUUUUUUUGCAAAGAAAUGAUGAUUGAUUCAGAAAUAGCAGAAGGGUGCUCGAUCCUAAAGCUGACCAGUCGACAAACUUGUCUUACCGGCGGCGCCGUCUCUGACCGUCUGCAGUUCUGUCCUGGCCAGCUCCAAGUCAAGUUUCAGUUGAAUCUGCUGACUUUCCAAAUCAGCGAAGCGAGCUCCAAGAUCACAAGAUUUCUGAAAUCAAAGGGGAGAAAUUAUUACACAGCCAAAAACGACAAAUACUAAGACUAUAGUCGACUGCCCGCAGUCCACCAUAGUCUCGGGGACUACACCCAGUGGGUGCACUUUGCGUGCCCCCACCGGUUCUGAUUCCACUCGACCGGCCCGCCGGAGUCGAGUUCAAAAAAGAAGAAGAAAGAGAGACAAAGUAGAACUCAGACCACAGUCGACUGCCCGCAGUCGACCGCGGUCUCGGGGACUACACCCAGUGGGUGCACUUUGCGUGCCCCCACCGGUUCUUAUUCCACUCGACCGGAUCGAGCGGAAGAAACAAACUACCAGUUCGGUUUUACUCAACAAAAUACAAAGACUACGGUCGACUGCCAGCAGUCCACCGUAGCCUCGGGGACUACACCCAGUGGAUGCACUCAGCGCGCCCCCACUAGUCCAAAAAAUUCAAUCGACACACCCAGUGAGUGUACAGAUAAAAAGAUUUUCGGAAAGAAUCUUCAGAUAGCAUAUCCUAACAGAACAAGCGGCGACCAACUAACCUGAACAUUACUCUGGAGAGCCGAGCUAGCAUCGUAGGCGGCUUGGCUGACGUCCCGCACCGUCUUCAUCUUCUCCAUCAUAAUGCCCGCCUGGUGUAUGGCUUCUCUAGCAGCAUUCACCUCGUCCUCCGGGACAUGAUGGGUUGCAAAAAGUGAAGGCGGGUCGACAGGGGCCUGAGCGGUCGAAGAAGAAGGCAACACACUCGACAGGGGCUCCGUGAAGGUAACAGAACCCCGAUUGACAUCACCAGUGUCCUGAACGACUGGUUCCGCCCUCGGCGUCGACUGUAGCGCCUCACUUACAGGAGCUCGCCUACUCUUCCUCAUCAAAGACCUCUCGGGUUCUUAAUCAUCAUCAGGGAGGUCAAUAAUGUUGGGAGCUGUACAAAGUUCAAAUUGCCAAAAUCACGUCACCCAGUGAUGCAUGAUGCAGUUGAAUCGACCAAAGAAAGAUAGUAUGGCAGAAAUCAUACCCGAAUUAGAAGUGACCGCAUCCUCCAUCACCUCAUUAUCAUCCCUGUAAGCUGAGGUCCCGAAAGUGGCAGCGCUAACAAUUCCAAAGUUCGUCCGGCUAAAACAAGAAAAACAAACAGCGCGGAGCGUCGAGUGAAUACAAGGAGAGACACUAACGCGGAGGCGACAUGGAUAUCGAUCUUGAUCUUCGGCAGCGCCUCCCGAGUCUUCGGUUCUGCAACUUUGGGAUGCUUUGGCGCCUUAUCAGUCGUGGUUGGUGAAGAGAUCCGAGGACGCUUCGAAGACUGACCAGCCUGAGCAGUCGCCUUGUCGCGGGCACUCGGCCGAUCCUGGUCAAGCUUGGAUCGUCUCUCUAUGCGAGGAGGCGGCUUGACUUCUUCCUCAUCACUCGAGUCGUCGCUUCCUCCAUCCCCUUCACCAUCGGAAGUCCACUCGCCACUUUCGCCACCACUCGCCUCGCCUUCCAGAGCUUGCUCUUGCUCCCCGUUGGGCAUCAAAUACAUUUCAAUAAUAGCCUGAAAGAAAGCAGGGAGAAAAAGUUAGUCGACGCAAUACAGACAGCUGCGUGAGUGAAUUCAGAUUACAAGCAAAAACUCAGAAUCAGACCUGCUCUGGUGCACGCGACUGGUCAAAUGGGAGAACUCUCCUGGCUCCUCUAGGGUUGUCCUUGUUCCCGGUAAUGCUCGACAACCACUUCUCCAGCGUGUCGUCAUCGACCUCCUCCGGGUGGAUCCGAGUGGAGUCUUCUAGACCCGAAUACAUCCACAUCGGGUGGUCUCGGGCUUGGAGAGGCUGGAUGCACCGCCGAAGGAAGACCUCCAAGAGAUCCAUACCAGUGACCCCGUCACGAAUGAGCUGGACCACUCGGUUGACUAACACCUUCACGUGCGCCUUCUCCUCCGGGAGCACCUUCAAAGGGGAGGGUUUUUCCACUCGGUCCAUGGUGAAGGGAGGGAGGCCAGUCGAUUGCCCUGGCGUCGACUGGUCUUUGCAGUAGAACCAGGUCGACUGCCAUCCGCGAACUGAAUCGGGAAGAAUCAUGGCCGGAAAGGAGCUUUUUCCCCUCGUCUGGAUGCCAAGACCCCCACACAUCUGGAUCACUUGGGCCCUCUCGUCACCCGGGUUAGCCUUUUUCACUGUCUGGGAGCGACAAGUGAAAAUAUGCUUGAAAAGACCCUAGUGAGGUCGACAACCCAAGAAGUUCUCACACAAGGAAAUGAACACGGCAAGAUAAACGAUUGAGUUGGGGUUAAAAUGGUGGAGUUGAGCCUCGAAAAAGUUCAGAAACCCUCGAAAGAAAGGAUGAGGAGGCAAGGAAAACCCACGGUCGACGUGGGUGGCAAGAAGAACGCGCUCACCCUCCCGGGGUUGCGGCUCGGAUUCCUUCCCCGGAAGCCGCGCCGAGUCGUAAGGGAUCAGGCCUCCCUCGGCCAGGUCAUCGAGGUCUUCUUGGGAGAUCCUCGAGUGGAUCCAGUCGCCCUGGAUCCAACCCCUCGGCAGGCCAGUCCGCGAGGAAGAUCCGCCCCGGCUCAUCACCUUACCCUUUGACCUCGCCGUCGCCUUCUUUGCCCGCUCCAGAGCCGCUGUCUUCUCCUUCACCAUUGUCGCCGACGAGACGCGUGUGGCGCGGUGGCGCUGGAGCGAGAGCGAGCUUAGAGGAGAGGUGUGAGGAGAAGAGAUAAUGGGGCGCACUGUUCGGGAGACUCCGGUCCAACGCCUUAUAUGAGGCCGCUUCUGAGUGGCUGACAGGUAGGCCCAGAUGGCUCUGUCAAAUCCCGUAACGACCGCACGAGCGAUACGUGGUGAAAAAGGUGGCGCAGGGAUCGAGGCGGCUCCGCUCUAUCUCGUCCGAUUACUACGGCCUCCCCCAUCCCGCACGCUUCCCAAAAUUCGAAUCCCACUAAAUCCACGGGCAGCAAAUAACUUGUCAGACCAAAGAUCUCCUCCGCACCGUCACUCGGAGCCUUACAAGUAAAGAAACUCACUCGACGAAGUAUUAAGAAUGGAUCAAGGCGACUGAAAAGAAAGUUGCUGCCACCACUCGGGUCCAUUGAUCUAGAGCAAGAUAUGCUCACAGCAUGAAAAACGAGUCGGAGAGGUCCUCAACUCCUUCCCCGCUCAGACCUCGAUCCAUCGGGGGCUAAUGAUGAAGCUAUGUACCUAGGGUAGGGUCAUGGACCUGUCCUAACUGCCCUACCCAAGGACAUCUCUAGAAGAAAUCACCUUUCAAUCGACUUGAAGGUGUUCCACUCGACAGACUCGAAGUCACUUGACCAAGAAGUGAUCACUCGACCAAGAUCCAACCACUCGACGGCCAGGAGACCUAAAGUCACCCCGCACGCUAAUGGUCGGUCAUUAAAUAGCUUUUAUGGUCAUCAUAGCACUUUAUUACUAGCGUUACCAGUAACGCCCUGCCUUAAUGUACAUUGAACCCUUCGUAAUGUGGGCUGGCCGGGGUCCUGGCGCACUCUAUAUAAGCCACCCCCUCCUCCGAUACAAGGGUUCGCACCUCUGUAACUCAUACUCACAUCAUCCAGUCGACCGCCUCCGGGCUCCGAGACGUAGGGUUUUUACUUCUUCCGAGAAGGGCCUGAACUCGUAAACCUUGCGUCCUUACAACUUCUCCAUAGCUAAGAUCUCGCCUCUCCAUACUUACCCCCCUACAUUACUGUCAGACUUAGAACCACGAUAGUACCCAGGUUGUAUCAAUGCACGGGUACUCGGAGUUUGUCCAGUCGCUAACCCAGGAACAGUAUGUCAUAGCUAGUCAAACGACAAUUCGCGAAACUCUAAAGACUCCCGCAAUGAAUGUUAGGAGAGUUUUGUGCCAAAAGAUUGCUAGCACAUAUGAUUCACAAGUUGUCGCGUUUGUGAUACACAUGGUACCUAUGAGAAUAACCUUGCAAGACGUAGAACACAUCACAGGCCUUCCCAGCAUGGGGAGGGACUAUGUCCCUCCUUCGUUCAAAGAAGUGCAGGACUUAUGGCUUGAUUUAAAGGAUCCUGAAGAUAACAAACUGACCUUGAAAGGUAUAUGAUAUUUUCAGAACUAUUUUUUCGUUUGAUAAUGGAACAAAUUUCAUAAUUACAAUACUUGACAAACAACCUUUUCAGGUCUUCGUAAGAAGAUGAUUGGCGAAGAGAGGCCACGGUUUGUGAAGCCUUAUGUCUUGUACACCAUUGGCAAGUUGGUUUGCCCAACGACACAACCCUAUGUUGAUCCCAAAUAUUUGGGAAUUGUUAUCGACAUACAUACUAUAAACUCCAUAAAUUAUGCUAAACUAUCUCUUGACCACUUAAUGUCAAGUGUGAGGAAGUUUGUGAACGGUGCCGCAAACUUGGAGGGAAAUCUCCCACUACUGCAGGUAGUACAAACUCAUUAUUUCCUAUGAUAUUCUUUAAUUGGUCAAUUAUGUAUUCUUUUUAAUUCUCUCCCAGACAUGGUUCUAUGAGAAAUUCCGAGUCGACCAUAUUGAUCGCACCAUUUCCUAUCUUCAACGAGAUAAACCAUUGAUACAAUACUGGGACGAAGAAAAGGCAGCAAAGGUCGACAAAAUAAUAUCGCAGAACUACAUAGGAGUAGGACAGGUAUAUGCUUACUGUCACUAGUUGUCAUCUGCUCAGUUUUUGCAAAAUGACUCAUAAUAUAUAAAAAACUGCAGAUGGUAGACGACCUCAGGCGCCCUUGGAAGCCAGUGUCGAAGGCUUCACAUCAACCUACAAAGUCUACUUUUGAGGUACGUCCUAUGUAACUUGUACAAUGAUACUACUCGUUUCUUAGGCUGAAACUAUUUGUUUGUACAAAUAUUUUUAUGAAACAAUCAGUUCUAAUUUAUCUUAACUUGUAGGUCGAUGGGACACUAGGCCGCGUACUCGCCCAGGUGGGAGAGAUAAAAGCAAUAGUGUGUCAGCAAUAUUCGGAGAUUUACGCAAAACUGGACGGAGUAGAAAGGCGCCAGAAGCAAAACAACAUGCGCUUGGAGGACUUCAUUUGUGCAUUCAAUGUAUGCAUUUGUUCUUUUUUUGUUGUAAUUCAUCCUUCUAGAUGAGUGCAUGACUAACAUUUUUUCAUUAAUAGGAUCAUCGAUUUGGAGUAGGACAGAAGGACUUUAAUGAGGGUCAGAGAGUUGAUAAUAAUAUCAAGGUAUGUCACAAAAUUUCUAACUGUCUUCAUGUCAGAAUGUAUGCUAACCAUUUUUCAUUUUAACGUGCGAACUAGAAAACCUCAAAGAAUGUUGCUGCUAGUACAAAUGAAGUGCCAAAGUGUGUCUACAGCAACCCCAGCAAGAACCUUGCUGGGGAAUUUGAGGUAUGAAUUCCAUCUUGGUACAAUGUUUUUUUGUCAACCAUACUUAGUGCUAACUUGUCCAUCUGUACAGAAGGUAAAAAAACACCUGUGGACCCCCACAAAGGAAAAACAGACAGAGAUGACGCUGUGGACUCAUUUAGUAAGCGUUUUAGGAGUGACAGCAAGAACUUACCCUCCCAAUCUGAGGUCAGCAUCACAUGUCUGAACUAUAUUGCUAGGAAAGGGUUUAUUUCAACCAUAUUCUUAACUUGAUGACAACAUUGCAGAAGGUGAAGAAAACAUAUGUACACCCUCAGAAGUCAAAGACUGAAAGAGACGAUAGCAAGAACUUACCCUCCGAAUAUGAGGUCUGCAUCACAUCUUAACCAAAUUGCUAACAAACGUUUUUCUCAACCCAUAUUCCUAACCUUAAGUCAAAUAUCGCAGAAGGUCAAGCAUACGUCCAUGGAUGCCAUGGACUCCAUAGGGAGGCGUGUCAGACAUGACGGCCGGAAGAGAAAGAAGUCUUCACUCCUUCAGAGCGAGGAAUACGAAUUUUACACCCCCGCGCUCAGAAGGAAAAGAGCUCUAUCUUAAUAGACACAUGACAGUAACGAUAUUAUGUACACACAGAAUAAGAAGAUGAAUCCCGGGAAAAGCAGCGCCCAGCAGCUAAAACAGCUCAAGGAGGACUUGAUCAAUUUUCAGGCAGAAACAGAUCGAGUUACACAGAAUAUAGUAGUUGACUAUGUAAACACUACUCCUGAGACCGCCAAGUUGGUGAAGAUCAAGGACAUACUUCUAACGCAGAAGUAUCUUAAAUGCCUGACAACACCAGAUCAUUCCUCCUUUGCAGCUUGGGUGGAUGACGAUGUAAGUGCUAACGCAAAAUAGUAUCUUUGAUUAUUUAUAUGUUUUCCAAUUAAACUAAUAUCUUCUUUCUUAGGUACUCGAUGCGGCGUUUGAACUCCUACGCCUGGACGGACUAGAAGGUGUACGAGACCAUGGUACCGUGUAUGUCGAAAGGUCGACCAUUGUCAACAUCCUAAAGAGAGAUGGCACAGUCCCGAAUUGUACCUUGGAUGUUUUAAGCGGCAAAUCAGGCACUAAAUCGGGAGAUAACUACCUGAAACAUGACAUGGUAAAAAAAUCCACCCUUCUCUUAUAUAAAUAAGAAAUUUUAUUUUUAGGCACUUCAAACCAGUUACAAAUUUUGCACGCAGAUUUUCCUACCUUCAAAUAUUCCCAACCACCACUGGUUCCUGGCUGUUGUCAACUCCCAAAAGAGGGAGAUUCAAAUUCUGGACUCACUCCAAUCACGCAACAACCGCAAAGAAGUAAUUGCUGCGGUGAGGCUCUAACAACAUUUUACAUAACUUACAGUUUAUACGAAUAAUGUACUAAAUUGAGUGAUAUGUUACUUGCAGCUUCUUGGAAUGGAAACACAUAUUGAUAUAGCAGUGAUGGAAAAUAGAAUGCCAGGAAGUAGAUGGCCGGACACUCAAGUGGCUUCGUGGCCUAUCACAGACUAUGAAGUGCCACAGCAAAAAGAUGGGUGUUGAAAUACAUCCAAUAUUGGACUGGAGUGAGAUUGUCGGCAAUAUUCAACCAGGUACCUACAUCUUCCCUAUCUAACUUAACUUUCACAUAUACAAAGGGUCCUAACGUCUACCUCCUAUGCAGGAUGACAUAAGACAGUUCAGAAGAUGGCUUGCUGCUGCGUUGAUCAAUUCACCUCACAAUGAGUUGAAAGUUCGAAAGGCCAUACCAGCAGUUGACUUAGAAGAUGAUUUAGAAGACGUCGACCUCGGAGGUGACGACGGACACAAUGACAGCGGAGAUGCCUUAGGAGACGAUGGUUCCGCACUAUAGUUGUGUGGUGCUAGACUUAGGGAAGAGUUAAUAGGAUUGGGGGUGGUGUGGUUUUUGCCCCGUAGACGGUUUCCACACCGUUUUCAAUUUUAUUAUUUUAUCUAUACAUCGAAGAUGUAUCAAACAUUUUUUUUGGUUGUGCUACUUUAUCUAUACGGCAAAUUGCCGUACAUUUACUACUUUUAUCCAUAUUGAAUAUCUGCAUUAAUUUUUAAUUAAAGUCUUUCACGCACAAAAUCUUGUAUUCGCUGUUUAAUGAUGCAAUUCCCUUUGGUUUAUAGGAUGUGAUUCAAAAACAAAAUUUCUAAGUGGCUUUACACUUUCAGUCGCAAUUUCCUUGUUACUUGUGUCCUUGGAAGCAACACAAUCUUUUUAAACCUGGGGUUUCAAUUCUGUAUUAUGCCAAUGAAUGAUAGACAAAUGCUGUCCUGUUAUUUCAACUUGUGCAUCCUACCAUUUAAUCGAUGAUCAGGAUUUUCUAAAAAGCCAACUUGGCCACCCACUUGGGAACUAUCCAUUGCCUAUCUGAGUGUUGAACAGGUGUACUAAUUAACUAGACUGAACUGGAAUGUCUGUUCAUAUGACCAUGACUGAAUCAGCUGAAACUGAAACAUGCUCUAUGUCGAAUCUGAAACUGCACAUGCUCUGCACUAAUAUCACAUACAAAAAAAAUCCUUGUGCAAGUACACAAGAUGAGCAGAGAGGACGAGCAUGGACCUGAACUGCUGCUGGUGUGAUGGAACUCGUCCUCCUCCUAGGCGAGGACCAUGGCUGGAUCAGCUUUUUCCCUCCAAAUCGCUUGUCACUGCUACACAGGAAGGAUAGACAUACACGUUUGACAUCAUUGUUUAUCUCCACACGGCACUAUUUGAGUGAGAAACAAAAACAUAGGAUUUGUGAUGCUAUGACAUCUUAAUGAUUCAUGAACUAAGCUGAAUAAGCCUAGGUCCAAUUUCAGAAUAAGCCUCGGUACAGACACAGCUAGCAAGUGGCGGUGCCUGGGCCAGAGAGGAUGGAGAAGCUAGCUUACGAAAUCGAGGAAAGAAAUGGGGGCCAAUGGAUCGAUGGGUCGGAUGCGAGUACCUGCAUCGGCCACGACAGAUCUGUACGGCACUGGUCGGCGUGUAGGGCCUUGACGGCGACGGGGCAUGCUGGCAACGUCUCGCCUUAGUCCUCCCCCUCGGCGACCCGCUCCACAUCCUGCAGCUUAGG
This 18390-nucleotide long non-coding RNA is filed under the name Triticum aestivum (bread wheat). Its description in RNAcentral is "long non-coding RNA (TAES_LNC015502)". Lineage: Eukaryota; Viridiplantae; Streptophyta; Magnoliopsida; Poales; Poaceae. The record is from RNAcentral.